This 192-nucleotide ribosomal RNA is filed under the name Triticum aestivum (bread wheat). Its description in RNAcentral is "partial small subunit ribosomal RNA". Lineage: Eukaryota; Viridiplantae; Streptophyta; Magnoliopsida; Poales; Poaceae. The record is from RNAcentral.
AUGGUUAUUUCUCCUCUGCCCUCUCUUCCUCGUGUCUGUGCAUUACUGGUUCACCAGAAAGUUCAGUGCGAAAAGGCAGCGCCUCCCGCCUUCGCCGCCGGCCCUGCCCAUCAUCGGGCACCUCCACCUCAUCGGUUCCCUCCCCCACGUCUCCCUCCGCGGCCUCGCAAGGAAGCAUGGCCCCCGACGUGA